Molecule: long non-coding RNA, 702 nt
Organism: Cyprinus carpio carpio
Lineage: Eukaryota; Metazoa; Chordata; Actinopteri; Cypriniformes; Cyprinidae
Source: Ensembl
AAACGAAACCUCAAGAUCUUCGCAAUUUAUGAUCGCAAAGGCCUUUAGAUUACACUGACAAAGUUUGGUGUUGAUCUGAAUAAAUCUCUAGGAGGAGUUCGUUAAAGUACAACCCCUGAAAAUGGCAAAAACUACACAAAUUUUGCAGAGAAAAUUCAAAAUAACCGACUUCCUGUUGGGAUUCGAAUGUCGUACCAAGAGACUUUUUUGUAGGUAUUGGUGUGUUACAUGUGUGUACCGAUUUUUGUACAUGUAUGUGAAACGUAGCUCGAGGCGCACUCCGUUGAAAGUGUAUAGGUGGCGCUAUCGAGGCAUUUUGCCACACCCGAUGGAAUAUUGGCCUUCAGAUGUGUUCAGGCCAGGACUCUUAUCAAACAUGUGAAGUUUGGGCAAGAUCGGACAUUUUAUGCCUGAGUUACAAUAACUUUUAUUCCCAUGGCGAGACAUCGAACUUUGUGACGGCGCCAUGGACACGCCCUUUAACGAAAACUCAAGAUCUUCACAAUUUAACAUCGCACAGGCCUUUAGAAUAGAGUGACUGAAAAAAAAAAUGUAUGUCAUAAAAUUUCUCGGGGUAGUUUGUUACAGUGUAAAAUAUGUCACUUCCUGUUGCCAGUAGGUGGCGCUAUGACUAUAACUGAAUAUGGGCAUAUCAAUCUGUUCAGGUCAGGAGUCUUAUCAAACAUGUGAAGUUUGUGGCAG